Molecule: ribosomal RNA, 928 nt
Filed under: fungal sp. NIOCC F65
Lineage: Eukaryota; Fungi
Description: SSU rRNA
Rfam family: Eukaryotic small subunit ribosomal RNA
Source: RNAcentral
AAUCAGUUAUCGUUUAUUUGAUAGUGCCCUUACUACAUGGAUACCUGUGGUAAUUCUAGAGCUAAUACAUGCUGAAAACCCCGACUUCGGAAGGGGUGUAUUUAUUAGAUAAAAAACCAACGCCCUUCGGGGCUCCUUGGUGAAUCAUAAUAACUUAACGAAUCGCAUGGCCUUGCGCCGGCGAUGGUUCAUUCAAAUUUCUGCCCUAUCAACUUUCGAUGGUAGGAUAGUGGCCUACCAUGGUGGCAACGGGUAACGGGGAAUUAGGGUUCGAUUCCGGAGAGGGAGCCUGAGAAACGGCUACCACAUCCAAGGAAGGCAGCAGGCGCGCAAAUUACCCAAUCCCGAUACGGGGAGGUAGUGACAAUAAAUACUGAUACGGGGCUCUUUUGGGUCUCGUAAUUGGAAUGAGAGCAAUUUAAAUCCCUCACCGAGGAACAAUUGGAGGGCAAGUCUGGUGCCAGCAGCCGCGGUAAUUCCAGCUCCAAUAGCGUAUAUUAAAGUUGUUGCAGUUAAAAAGCUCGUAGUUGAACCUUGGGCCCGGCUGGCCGGUCCGCCUCACCGCGAGUACUGGUCCGGCUGGGCCUUUCCUUCUGGGGAACCUCAUGGCCUUCACUGGCUGUGGGGGGAACCAGGACUUUUACUGUGAAAAAAUUAGAGUGUUCAAAGCAGGCCUUUGCUCGAAUACAUUAGCAUGGAAUAAUAGAAUAGGACGUGCGGUUCUAUUUUGUUGGUUUCUAGGACCGCCGUAAUGAUUAAUAGGGAUAGUCGGGGGCGUCAGUAUUCAGCUGUCAGAGGUGAAAUUCUUGGAUUUGCUGAAGACUAACUACUGCGAAAGCAUUCGCCAAGGAUGUUUUCAUUAAUCAGGGAACGAAAGUUAGGGGAUCGAAGACGAUCAGAUACCGUCGUAGUCUUAACCAUAAACUAU